This 63-nucleotide transfer RNA is filed under the name Pediacus ater. RNAcentral's name for it is "tRNA-Ile". Lineage: Eukaryota; Metazoa; Arthropoda; Insecta; Coleoptera; Cucujidae. The record is from RNAcentral.
AAUGAAGUGCCUGAUAAAAGGAUUAUUUUGAUAGAAUAAAUAAUGUAUUAAUUACCUUCAUUA